RNAcentral lists this ribosomal RNA (489 nucleotides) under Actias ningpoana (Indian moon moth). RNAcentral's name for it is "Actias selene ningpoana (Indian moon moth) partial 16S ribosomal RNA". The stretch from base 1 to 162 matches the Rfam family "Archaeal large subunit ribosomal RNA", at positions 1890 to 2096 of the family's 2987-position model. Lineage: Eukaryota; Metazoa; Arthropoda; Insecta; Lepidoptera; Saturniidae. The record is from RNAcentral.
GCCUGUUUAUCAAAAACAUGUCUUUUUGUGAAUAAUUUAAAGUCUAAUCUGCCCACUGAUAAUUUAUUAAAGGGCUGCAGUAUUUUGACUGUACAAAGGUAGCAUAAUCAUUAGUCUUUUAAUUGGUGACUUGUAUGAAGGAUUGAAUGAGAUAUAAACUGUUUUAAAGUUAAAAUAAAUUGAAUUUAAUUUUUUAAUUAAAAAGUUAAAAUAAAUUAAAAAGACGAGAAGACCCUAUAGAGUUUUAUAUUAAUUUAAAUUUAAUUUAUUUAUAAAUUUAAUAAGUAUAAAUUUAUUUUAUUAUUUUGUUGGGGUGAUAAAAAAAUAAAAAAAACUUUUUUUAAAAAUAUACAUAAAUAAGUGAUUUUUUGAUCCAAUUUUAUUGAUUAUAAGAAAAAAUUACCUUAGGGAUAACAGCGUAAUUUUUUUUUUUAGUUCUUAUAAGAAGGAAAGUUUGCGACCUCGAUGUUGGAUUAAGAUAAAAUUUAA